This 424-nucleotide ribosomal RNA is filed under the name uncultured prokaryote. RNAcentral describes it as "bacterial SSU rRNA". It matches the Rfam family "Bacterial small subunit ribosomal RNA", at positions 355 to 796 of the family's 1533-position model. The record is from RNAcentral.
UGGGGAAUCUUAGACAAUGGGGGAAACCCUGAUCUAGCCAUGCCGCGUGAGUGAUGAAGGCCCUAGGGUUGUAAAGCCCUUUCGCCGGGGAAGAUGAUGACGGUACCCGGAGAAGAAGCACCGGCUAACUCCGUGCCAGCAGCCGCGGUAAGACGGAGGGUGCUAGCGUUGUUCGGAAUCACUGGGCGUAAAGGGCGCGUAGGCGGCCUGAUCAGUCAGAUGUGAAAGCCCGGGGCUCAACCCCGGAACGGCAUUUGAUACUGGCAGGCUGGAGGUCGGAAGAGGAGGGUGGAAUAUCCAGUGUAGAGGUGAAAUUCGUAGAUAUUGGAUGGAACACCGGUGGCGAAAGCGGCUCUCUGGUCCGAACCUGACGCUGAGGCGCGAAAGCGUGGGGAGCAAACAGGAUUAGAUACCCGGGUAGUCC